Molecule: non-coding RNA, 899 nt
Organism: Lonchura striata (white-rumped munia)
Lineage: Eukaryota; Metazoa; Chordata; Aves; Passeriformes; Estrildidae
Source: RefSeq, a predicted model, not a curated record
AGGAGGAGGAGGAGGAGGAGGGGAUCCUGCAUCUGCUGCCAUCAGUCUGCGAGGAACAGAGGGCUAGCAGACAAAGCACAAUUUCUUUCCUCAUUUAAAAGCCCAUCCUGCGCUUUUCCUCCUUAUUUCCCACACCUGGUUGAGGGGAGAGAUUGUGGGUUCUCCAUCCGUGGACCUUCAGAACACGCCUGGCCAGACCCCUGGUGGCCUCCUGGACUGGAUAAUCUCAAGAUGUCCCUUCCAACCCCAAUGAUUCUGUGACUUUCCUACCUCUACUCUUACAAAAAUCAUCAUAAUAGAAGCUUAUUUGAAUAUUUAAUUUACUUUCCCUUCUUUGUUUAUAUUUGUGGCAUUUAUCACCCUUGAAUCUUUAGGAUAAACAAGAAUGUUAAUUGUUUGUUGCUGGUUUAUGGUUAAUUAUAAUUUACCACAUUGAUUAACUCGAAAUGUGGCUGCGAAGACAUGAAUGGGAGUGUGUAAAUCCGCAUCCGAAAAUGGGGAAUUGUGUGAAACAAAGGCUUGGAGGAAGAAAUGAGCCAGGUAACAUAUCCAGGCCACGUUCUGGGCAGAGUUUGGUCAAAAUCCAUGCUUGAAAUUCAAGGUUCUUUCCUGAGGAGAGCCCUGGCUGAGCUGUGGAAUGAUGAAUGAUGAAAUAAAGUGAUGAAGAUUUUAGACAAUGGAGAUAGAAAAUUGUUGCCUCCAAAUCUGAAUGGGCUUUUCCAGAUGUUUAAUAUCUCUUGUCCCAAAAGCAACUGUAUAAAAAAUACUUUACAUGUUACAGCAACUGCGAUAUAUUCCUGCAGAAUUUAGUUAAUUGUCCCUGAAAUCAAACUGCAGGAUUGUAAAUGUCUUUGUUUUAUGGGAAAAAAAAAACCCUAAAAAUUUAUUUAUAAAGCACA